This is a non-coding RNA of Ictalurus furcatus (blue catfish), 1436 nucleotides long. Lineage: Eukaryota; Metazoa; Chordata; Actinopteri; Siluriformes; Ictaluridae. The record is from the annotation of a RefSeq genome assembly.
UGUCAUUCAUAGACAGAUUAAAAGCAGUAAUAAAGCAUGAACCUUGUUGUUAUGACAGGCUGCUAAAUGUAACUUUAUUUUGUACUCUCUCUCUCUCUCUCUCUCUCUCUCUCUCUCUCUCUCUCUCUCAGCCUAUAUAACUGUGGGGGAGAGGCAACAAAUAGUUGAAAUGUCAACUCGAACUGGAGGACACAAAAAUGUGUGAUACAAUAACAAUGUCAUAACUUAGCAUAACUGCUAAGAACUGAGUGCUGACUACAUUACUGAAUAUGGUUUUGCUUUUAAAUUAUUUUCUUAAAAGCUUUCUGUCCACCCUGCUCUGCUUGGAGACAGAGUUAUGAUGUUAUGCUACAAUCGUAGCACUUCGUGGGUGUGGCCUUCUAGAGAUGUGAUUCCUCUUGUGUAAAGUUCAGCACAUACAGCACUAUUAUAAAGACUCCUCACUGAGCUGUGUUCAGAAAUGGAUCAACUACACAACUUACUGUACAUAGUGAGAUACAUACCCCUGAUUCUCACUGUAGCAACAGGCAGUUUUGCAAAUAAAAUCUGGCCAACGGACAAAAAUGCCAUCCUUGUCGGGAAAGAAACGGACACUGUUACUCUGAAAUGUUCAUAUGAGUCAAGCAGCAGUGUUUGGCUUUAUUGGUACAAACAACAUCCCAACAGUGCACCGCAGUUUUUAGUAUAUGUAGGUGGCAAUCCCACUGACGCUCGAUUUCAGGCAACAUCAUCCAGUGACUCUACUGAACUUACUAUCAGAGGUCUAAAGCUCUCAGAUUCUGCACUUUAUCACUGUGCUCUUAGUAGAGUAGCACAUUAAUUCAGAGUCAAUUAAAGGCUGUACAAAAACUUAAAAAUGGUACCUAUGAAGUUUCUAAAACCACAGAAGAUCACUUUAAAAACUUAUCAGUUAACCUCAGACACAAACAACUUGUGGUAACAUGUGCAGCUGAAAGAAACAGAAAAAAAUAGGGUUCAACCAUUGAUACAUCAGUCACACUAAAUUCACAAAUUGUAUUUAUACUCAAAAAUAUAUUUCAAUGACAAUACUAAAGCCAUUUUGUCAGGUGUAUAUGGUGUGGAAUUAAAGUAAUUAAUUUUUUUUGCCGGUUUUCCCAGCAGUAACUUCCGGUUCCGGUUGACAGGGUACGCUGGCACGUUUUGCUGCCGCUGCUGUCACCGUUUUGUUUGUUUUCGUUUGUUUAUUUAAGUCAUAUUGUUUUAAAUAACAGUGAGUUAUUUAAGUUAUAUUGUUUUCAGUGCCCCUGUGAUUGCAAUGUGGUGGUGUCCUUUUAUAUACUUUGGACUGUUGUUUUUACCUCUGUGUUCCACCUGGAAUAACCUGCAGCGUGCAACGGGGAAUCAACGCCUCGGUCCAACUGCGUUUGUGGAUUGUACGACUUUGUGCUCACAGUGCGCUUUGAGUGAGUGUGCAC